CCUUCGAUAGCUCAGCUGGAAGAGCGUGGGACUGUAAUGGUUAAAUGCUUGUCAUCCCAAGGUCACUGGUUCGAUCCCGGUUCGAAGGA
Molecule: transfer RNA, 89 nt
Filed under: Punctularia strigosozonata HHB-11173 SS5
Lineage: Eukaryota; Fungi; Basidiomycota; Agaricomycetes; Corticiales; Punctulariaceae
Rfam family: tRNA
About the family: Transfer RNA (tRNA) molecules are approximately 80 nucleotides in length. Their secondary structure includes four short double-helical elements and three loops (D, anti-codon, and T loops). Further hydrogen bonds mediate the characteristic L-shaped molecular structure. tRNAs have two regions of fundamental functional importance: the anti-codon, which is responsible for specific mRNA codon recognition, and the 3' end, to which the tRNAs corresponding amino acid is attached (by aminoacyl-tRNA synthetases). tRNAs cope with the degeneracy of the genetic code in two manners: having more than one tRNA (with a specific anti-codon) for a particular amino acid; and 'wobble' base-pairing, i.e. permitting non-standard base-pairing at the 3rd anti-codon position.
Source: Rfam by way of RNAcentral